AUCAAGGUGUCUGAUUAAAGUAGUAAACUGUAAAUUUAUUUAAGAAAAUAUUUCUCUUGAUA
This 62-nucleotide transfer RNA is filed under the name Cuerna sp. EMHAU-2015-Zz052311. RNAcentral describes it as "tRNA-Tyr". Lineage: Eukaryota; Metazoa; Arthropoda; Insecta; Hemiptera; Cicadellidae. The record is from RNAcentral.